GACGAACCGUGCGAACGUUGUUCGGAAUCACUGGGCUUAAAGGGCGCGUAGGCGGGCUAUCAAGUCCGGGGUGAAAUCCUCCAGCUCAACUGGAGAACGGCCUCGGAUACUGAUGGUCUCGAGGGGGAUAGGGGCACGCGGAACUGUGGGUGGAGCGGUGAAAUGCGUUGAUAUCCAUAGGAACUCCGGUGGCGAAAGCGGCGUGCUGGAUCCCUUCUGACGCUGAGGCGCGAAAGCCAGGGGAGCAAACGGG
RNAcentral lists this ribosomal RNA (253 nucleotides) under bacterium. Its description in RNAcentral is "partial 16S ribosomal RNA". It matches the Rfam family "Bacterial small subunit ribosomal RNA", at positions 524 to 776 of the family's 1533-position model. RNAcentral also lists the same sequence under 1 other name. The record is from RNAcentral.